This 594-nucleotide long non-coding RNA is filed under the name Nicotiana benthamiana. Its description in RNAcentral is "long non-coding RNA (NBEN_LNC025669)". The record is from RNAcentral. Lineage: Eukaryota; Viridiplantae; Streptophyta; Magnoliopsida; Solanales; Solanaceae.
UCCUUCUUCAUCAAACUCCACGUCCCGACUUAUCACAAGCUUGUUAGUAUCUGGAUUAUAUAGUUUGUAGCCUUUGGAGUUGGAAUCAUACCCGAUAAAGAUGAACGCGUUACUUUUGUCAUCGAGCUUGCUCCGUGUCUCGUCAGGUACAUGUGCGUAUGCUUUGCUUCCAAAGACUCUUAGAUAGGAGAUUCCUGGCUUCCUUCCACUCCAAGCUUCUUGUAGUGUCUUUCCCCACACGCUCCUUGAUGGUGAUCGGUUGAGUAGGUAGACUGCACAAGCUACUGCUUCGGCCCAGAAUUCCUUUGGUAGCUUCUUGCUCUUUAGCAUACUCCGCGCCAUGUCUAGAAUUGUCCGGUUCUUCCUUUCCGCCAUUCCAUUUUGUUGGGGGGACCUUGGUACCGUUAGUGGACGCCUUAUUCCAUGCUCCUCACAAAAAUUCUGGAACUCUCUAGAAGUGAACUCGCCUAUCCAAAGACUCUUAGAUGGGAGAUUCCUGGCUUCCUUCCACUCCAAGCUUCUUGUGGUGUUUUUCCCCACACGCUCCUUGUUGGUGAUCGGUUGAGUAGAUAGACUGCACACGCUACUGCUUCG